This 253-nucleotide ribosomal RNA is filed under the name uncultured bacterium. RNAcentral describes it as "partial 16S ribosomal RNA". It matches the Rfam family "Bacterial small subunit ribosomal RNA", at positions 524 to 776 of the family's 1533-position model. The record is from RNAcentral.
UACGAAGGGGGCUAGCGUUGCUCGGAAUCACUGGGCGUAAAGCGCACGUAGGCGGAUUGCUAAGUCAGGGGUGAAAUCCUGGAGCUCAACUCCAGAACUGCCUUUGAUACUGGCAACCUUGAGUCCGGGAGAGGUGAGUGGAACUGCGAGUGUAGAGGUGAAAUUCGUAGAUAUUCGCAAGAACACCAGUGGCGAUGGCGGCUCACUGGCCCGGAACUGACGCUGAGACGCGAAAGCGUGGGGAGCAAACAGG